RNAcentral lists this non-coding RNA (2144 nucleotides) under Pan troglodytes (chimpanzee). Lineage: Eukaryota; Metazoa; Chordata; Mammalia; Primates; Hominidae. The record is from RNAcentral.
CUCAGCCUCCCGAGUAGCUGGGAUUACAUGCAUGUGCCAACACGCCCAGCUAAUUUUUGUAUUUUUAGUAGAGAUGGGGGUUUCAUCAUGUUAGCCAGGCUGGUCUCGAACUCCCAACCUCAGGUGAUCUGCCCACCUUGGGAUUUGCCUCCCAAAGUGUUGGGAUUAUAGGCGUGAGCCAGUACGCCCAGCCUAACAAAUUCUAAAAGAGCUGUAACACUGACAGUCUCUUCAUGGUCCCAGUUAUUUCCAAAAGGGUACGUUCUGCUCUGGUUCCUUCUGGUGGGUUAGCAACAGGGCAGAUCCACUAGAAUACAGCUCUCAAAAUCUACUGCACAUGGAAUCACCCAAAGUGCUUUACAAAAAUCCUGAUCCCAGGCCACAUUCCAGAUCACUUGCAUUUGAACCUCAGGUCCAAACUCAGGCAUCAGCAUUUAAAACAUUCCUCAGGUGACUCCCAACAUGCAGCUGAUUUGCCAGCCAGCCCUCUGCAGUCUGGAUCAAAGGUUCUCAACGUGAGGUCCCUGAACCAGCGGCUGCUUUGCUAAGAACUGGGAACUUGUGGGAAAGGCAGCGUCUCAGACCCCACCCCAGAUCUACUGAAUCAGAAACUCUGGGGGUGGGGCCAGCACUUUGUUUCAACAAGCCCUCCAGGAGACUCUGAGGCACUAGUCUGGUCCAGUGGGUCUCAAACUUGACUGCAACAAAUGGCCCAGAGAUCUUUUUGAAGUGUAGAGUCUGACUCAGCAGGUGUGGGUGGAGCUGAGAGGCCAGCAAGAUCCCAGGUGGGGCUGACGCUGCUCAUCCUCCUACCACAUUUUGAGUAGCAAGGAGCUACCAAGAGCAGCUACCAAGAGCAGACAGGGUUUCAUUCUCGUCUACUGGAAGCAACCUUAAUAGACAACUGAAAAACAAAACAAAACAACUGAGAUACCUGUUUCUGCCAGAAAACCCAGGCCAUUCACUGGUCAGCUGUUCCAAAACCAGAGUUAAGCUACUGCAGCUGUUCCCGCAUGCCUGACUGCAUUCCAGUAAAUAAUCCCACGUGGCAAGUCAGCUCACCUGGUUACUGCCAAAGCAUGUUCCCAGCUGGUGUGACUCAGAGGCACACCAGAAUUUCUUUAUUAUUAUUUGGCGAUAGGGUCUUGCUUUGCCACGCAGGCUGGAGUGCCGUGGUCCGAUCACAGUUCACUACAGCCUUGAACUCCUGGGCUCAAGUGAUCUUCCUGCCUUAGACUCCCAAGUAGCUGAGAUUAUAGGCACACGCCACCACACCCAGCUAAUUUAAAAAUAUUUUUGUAGAGACCAGGUCUCACUAUGUUGCCUGAUUUGGUAUCAAACUCCUGGCCUUAAGGGAUCCUCCUGCCUCGGCCUCCCAAAGUGCCAGGAUUAUAGGUGUGAGCCAUCAUGCCCAGCCAGAGCACCAGAAAUAGCUCCAAACUGUAGAAGGAGCCUCCCUGUAGCGCUGUCGGCUCCCCCCUUCCUGUGGAGUCUCCACAGCAGUCCCUCCCCACCAUGAGGCCAGAGAGGCUAACAGCUUUGCUGUCACCCAACAGAAAUGCUUUAAGUACUGACCACUGCUGGAGGGAAAGGCUACCGCUAACACUUGGGAUGUUUUCUGACAGCCUCUGAAACUUCUACGAACUGCUGAGGCAUAGGAUCCUCUCCUAAAAUUUCUCCCAGAUCUUAACGUCAGGCCCGUCUGGCCCUUUCAUGAGUAUGUGGGUUAUAGUCUCUGGCAGGCACUUGUGAAGAGUGUGACUGAUUGACACUUUUUUGCCUUGGUUGCUGGGAAGCUCAGAUCUCCCCUCUGCAUGUCCCUUGCCUAGGACCUCCCAUGGUGUACUUGGAGUUGGGACCUCACCUGGCUCUCCCUUAUCUUUCCAGCUGCCAUUUUUUCCCCUUUUUAACUUUCUUUCCCAUCCACUUAUUUGAAAUAUUAUCUCACGGUAACGAAAUAAAGUGUCUGUCACCUCCUGCUGUGUUGUCAUCUUGCAUGAGCUAUCUAAGUUCUCUGUUCUUCAGUUUCUGCAUCUGUAAAACGAUGAUAAUGACAGAGCCAACCUCGCUUUGAGGAUCACAUGAGUUAAUAAAGGCCUGGCACACAGUUAGCACUCAAUAAAUGUUAGUUAUGAUUUUUAUUA